Non-coding RNA from Picea glauca (white spruce), 109 nucleotides. Lineage: Eukaryota; Viridiplantae; Streptophyta; Pinopsida; Pinales; Pinaceae. The record is from Rfam.
UAAAACAUAACAUUAAUGCACCAGAUCCCAUUAGAACUUCGUAGUUAAGUACGCUUGGGCUAGAUUAGUACUGGAAUGGGUGAUCGCUUGGGAAGUCCUAGUGUUUUAC